This is a long non-coding RNA of Nematostella vectensis (starlet sea anemone), 1392 nucleotides long. RefSeq lists it as uncharacterized. The record is from RefSeq and is a predicted model, not a curated record. NCBI's taxonomy places the organism in Eukaryota, Metazoa, Cnidaria, Anthozoa, Actiniaria, Edwardsiidae. The transcript has 2 exons.
GUGGUAGUGCUGUUGACAUCAGACGUCACGUGACCUUGCGCGGCCAGGGCCCUGAGACCAAACGAGGGCGCUUUGUUUUUUCUCUCAUGUCGACGCCAUUUUGCUCGUCUGUUCUGGAACCAGACCUGAUAAUAGGACUUCAUCGAUGACGCAACACAUCAUUUGACUAUCCUGUUUCACCCCCUCGACACUUUUAUGACAUCUUCCAGGUUUGGUUGUCUGGCGAUAUAGAUACUUAGUUUAGUGAACAUCUCGUCAUUAUAACCCCCCCCCUCUUUUCAUCUAUGCACAUAUGUAUACAUACGUUAAUCGCAAUAAGUUUGGUUGUCAUAUAAUGUCUCUGAAUAUGAAUAGAUUUUGAUGGCGUUAAACAAUUUUUGCCUUUAGUGACGUCAUCUAUAACGUCCUAUAUCACGUGGAUAUGAUUAUUUUGCUUUUAUUUACCAUAUUUUAGCUACUAUAUUUCUCUUUAACCACUUUUUCGUAAAAAAAUAUAAUUUUCGAUAACCAUUCGUGAAUUGACCAAAAUUUAGUGCUAGUUGACAAUAGGCUGUACCCAAUUAGAUAAAAUUGGGGUUUCUAUAAGAGAGCGGAAAUCAUGCUCUCCAUAUUUGGUUUUAACAUAAUCUCAGAGAUUUCCCAACCUGUAAGGGAAUACGCAAACACGUGAAAGUGUCUAAUCAUAACGAAUGACACGUUCAAUAGCGUGAAAGCUUAAUUCCCUGGCCCAUUUUCAUUUGAACAAAUGAAUCAUUGGAAACGAUAGGAUCGAGCUUUCGAGUAGAGUCCACCCGGCGUGUUAGCAUAUUACCUGGUACGGUCGGUGUCAUAUCUGCAAUUGGACUUCCAUUUGUUUUCCUGCCCGUUUCCACUGCUGCGAACCCAGGAAAAGACUCGUACUCUCGCAGAGGAAAACCCCAGAAAGUCUUGUAGGAAGAGCGAUGCGAAUGGUCUUUCUUCUUCUUUUCCAUCGCCCUUCUCUGGAUGAUCCACUCUUGUCCGUUGUUGUCAUGAUUUUGCGGAUGAUGAUAAAAUUCUAUGCUGCUAUUCCACGCUGGCUUUUCACCUAUCGCCUGUGAACUAUUUGAAUUGUGCUGUCCUUUGUUGGGAAAUAAUUUAAUACAUAGCCCUAUUCCCCCUGUUAUUUUGUUUGCAUUAUCAAGGGACUUAAUCACUCUGCGGCAAAUGAUGUGUGGAUGGUAUGAAUUGCUCUACUUUCUUUAAUGAUGUUCAAUUUGGCCUGUUUGUGUCUUUCGCUUUUUAACACGAAAGCAGCUAGAUUUGUUUAAUUGCUCAUAAUGUAAACAAAGGUUGUGUCGCAAUGCUGUCACUUGGGAAAUAUAUUUUGCGUUGUAAGAUGUGAAAAUCGGAUUACAUGUCCAUGGUCAAGGU